AUGAAUUUUAUUAGAUUUAUAUCUGUACAACGAUCAUCACAACACGAUUGUACAGCAUUUCUAUCCCAAACCCCCAGCGCACCCCUCCACCCCCCAACCUGUCUCAUUUGGAGACCAUAAGUUUUUCAAAGUCUGUGAGUCAGUAUCUGCUCUGCAAAGAAGGUCAUUCUGUCCUUUUUUUUAAUUUCACAAGUGAUAGCAUAUGAUGUUGGUAUCUCACUGUCUUGACUGACUUCACUUAGCAUGACAAUCUCCAGGUCCAGCCAUGUUGCUGCAAAUGCCAUUAUUUCCUUUUAAUGGCUGAGUAAUAUUCCAUUGUGUAUAUGUACCACAUCUUCUUGAUCCACUCCUCUGUUGAUGGACAUUUAGGUUGUUUCCAUGUCUUGGCUACUGUAUAUAGUACUGCAGUGAACUCUGGAGCACAUCUAUAUUUUCAAGUCAUGGUUUUCUCUGGAGAGAUGCCCAGGAGAUUGUGUGACCAUUUAAAAAAAAAAAAAAAAAAGAGUGCUAUUGGAUAUAUUCAAGCAUUUGUAAAUUCACUGAUCACAGAAUCCUUUCCAACUCUGAUAUUGUAGCUUUCUGAUAGAAGGCAUAGCCCAAAAGACUGCACAUAUUUUUUUCGGAAUGUCGUUCAGUGAUAAAGCAAGAUGUGGACCUGGUUCACACUGAGAGGUGCAUGAAGGAUACACGUUAAUACGACGCAUCCCAAGAGAGGCCCCGGGUGAAGCAAGGCUCUAAAUUAAGGACUCGCACGUGGUCUGCCUGCACCAUGUGGCCCUGGGCAGGUGGUGAGAGAGGCUACGCAGAGGCCUUUCUGUCUGCCCUGUCCGUCACCGCUCACACUGUGCACACCCAGAGCUCCACAGAUGGAAACGUGAUCUGCAGCAGAUGCGGCCGAACAGGGAGCGCUGUCCCCUUGAGGGCCCUUGGUCAGGGUCCUCAGCAGCAGGGCCAUGGCAUGAUGUGUUGUAACCUGAUGUGAGGUGUGUGCUCACAGCUCUUGCUAAUUAAAGAACUGAGGCUUCCCGGGGAUGGAAAGUUCCCUACCUUGCGCCAACUCAUUUAUUUCCAGCUGUUGAUUUUUCGAAAGAUCUUUCUCAUAUAUACUCAACUGAGCCAAAAUCUGUUCCCCUUUAAAAUGUUUACCGGUUUCAGUUCCUUGUAUGGCCAUUAAAUACAAAAUUCUCCUUUUUCUACAUACCAGACCUUCGGGUACCUGAGAACUGCCAUUAGAUGCCCGCUCAGUCUUGUCUUCUCUGGGCUCAACCUCCUCAGUUCUUCACCCGUUUCUCAUGUGUCAUGUUUUCCAGGUGUUCACCAUCCUAGUUACUCUUUGGAACGCCUCCCAAGCAGUCAAACGCCUCUGAAAGGGUGCUGCCCAGAAGAGGCCCUGAUUAUAGCCAGGGGAAGGACAAAGUGAAAUCAUUUCCUUGUUUUUCUUACUCCUUUCUUGUAAACAGUGGGGCCUAAAAUUGGCACACCGGAGAUCCCUUUCUUUGGCCUGUCAAACAUGCCUUUCCACUUUUUUGGGUAAAAACGCCCCGACUUUCCGUGAGGGAAUUGCUCUUCACUGAUUCUGAGACGUUCUGAGGGCAUCUCAGUCAAGGUUCCCCCUGCCCCUCCUCCUGGAGAAUCGUGGCACAGAGAACCCAGUUUAGGCCAUUUAGACUCUGGGUGCUCGGGUUUUGAGCUUUGGGGAAAAUGAUGUAACAUAAGCCACGAGAGUGGAGACGUUCUGAUGGGGUUGGGGGGAGACACAGGAUCUGUCCAUUCAUUCCUGCUAGUGGCCCAACCCUCUUCUUCCUGAGGCUUGGUCCUUCAGCAUCCAACAGCUCUUCGUGCCUUUUCAGCCAAGUCUUCCACACUGAGAGUCCCCUUCCAUCGCCUGCAACUAAGGAACCUAACACAUCAGAUCACCCUGUCUGCCCCAAUCCCAACAGGGGCACUUUGUGGGCCAGACUCCUGAACAUACUUCACAGGUUAUGACCGGUUUCUGCUCACACUUCUGACACCAAAUGUGUGGGGGAUGCUAUCUGUACUUCUUACCUGACCAGCUAUGAAGUGAAGAGGUUCCCACAACUCCCUCUUCAGAUUCAAUCAUCUGUCAGAACUCAGGGAAAUACUUGACUUACUAGUACCAGUUUAUUACAAAUGAAGAGUCAAAUGGAAGAGAUGCCUGGGGCAAGGGAUCAGGGGAGGGGUAGGUGGGGCUUCCAUGCCCCCUCUGGGCACAUCACCCUCCCAGAACCCUCAGCGUGUUCACCAACCCAGAAGCUCUCUAAACUCCAUCAUUUAGGGGUUCUGAUGAAACUUUCAUUACAUAAGUAUAACUGAUCAAAUCAUUGGCUAUUUGGUGAUUAAUUCAGACUCCAGCCCCUCUCCCCUCCCAAAAGGCCAGAAGGUGGGGCUGAAAAUUCCAACAUCUAAUCACAGAGUUGGUUCCUCUGGCAAACAGCCCCCAUCCUGAAGCUCUCAAGCCACCACCACUCCAAACAAAAGUAACUUCACUACUGUAAAAACAAACAAACAAACAACAACAACAACAGCAACAAAAAAACAGGUUUGGUCGAAAGGGGCUUAUUAUGAAUAACACAAGAAGCUCCUCUCAGACUUACUACUCAGGAAAUUCCCAGGGCUUCGGAAGCUCUUGUGCUGGGAAUGAGGAAUGAAGACCUAACGCAGAUUUCUUAGAUCACAGGAACACACAGGUGCUGCCAUUAAAUGACACAUCCCGUGAGUUCCUGUGGGGGCGCAGCAGAAACGAAUCCGACUAGGAACCAUGAGGUUGCGGGUUCGAUCCCUGGCUUUGCUCAGUGGGUUGGGGAUCCAGUGUGGCCGUGAGCUGUGGUGUAGGUCGCAGAUGUGGCUUGGAUCCCGCGUUGCUGUGGCUCUGGCGUAGGCUGGUGGCUACAGUUCCGAUUAGACCCCUAGCCUGGGAACCUCCAUAUGCCACGGGAGCGGCCCUAGAAAAGGCAAAGAGACAAAAAAUAAAUAGAUACCGUUUAAAAAAAGAAAAAUAAAAAUGACAUGUCCCCAAGUUCAGUACUGGGAAAGGUGACUUGGGACAAAAACACCAUUUUGAGGAUCAUGAGUCUCUCUUGCUUGCUCUCCUCUAUCCAUUAGCGAUAACUGGCUACCUUACGAAUGAGACCCAUUCAAGCCAUCAGCAAAAAUGUUAAGCAACUAAUGAUAGCUUGUGCAUCGGCUGCUUACUUACUCCGUGCCUCCCCUCAAGGCAAGAAAAUCAGUGUUCUCAGAGGUUUCCCCACUGGCCAAUGAGCAACGGGAUGGACCUGAGCUUUAAACCCAAGUCAGAAAGUCCUAAAGCCAGGGAGAAAUGAAGGAUUCUCUUGGGACUCACAGCCCAUAGCUGAACUGGGGAGAAGCUGUAUCUUCUACUAUUUUGGAAGACCUGAAAGAAAAGGGUGAAAGACAUACACAGAGCCUGCUUUAGGAUGCAAAGGCCUGGCUCAGACUGCACAUGCCAAGUGACAGUGGUACAGCUAGAAGAGGCGGGCACUGAGUGCAGAGGUGGAGGCUUGAGGCAUCAGAUUUCCAGUGACACUGAGACCUGGUUCGGGAGGAGGCUCCUCCUGCCUAGGCUUGCUCCACACCUGGAGCACUGGACCGCGUGCCUGUGACAGUGUCCAGUGUCGGGUGGAGCCCUCUUUCCACCUGGAUUCAGAGGUCACAAGAAAGACACUCCCGCUUCCUCACCAUGCCUCCUCUCCCCAGCUCCUCUCCCCAGCUCCCCGCCUUGUUCCAAGAGGGACAGCUCUUGGAACAGGGAAUUAACAACGUAAGAGAUCUGACACGACCCAAGAAAAGGCACAUAUUGUGGGAAAACCUAAGUUAUACUAAGGUAGACGCCACUGUUGCUUUUACUCCAGUUUUUUUCUUUUCACCCAGAUUUGGUAAAGAUCCUAAUUUUAUAACCUUGGUCAUUGGAGACCCCACUGGUUCCCGUCACUUUAAACAGCCUUUUAUAGUCACAGCAUCUCAAGUACAUUUCCUCUUCUUUUUCAGCAUAUCACAGUUCUUGGCAGAAAUCUCUAGCAGAAAGCACCAAAAUUUUUAUAAUGAGGAUAAAAUAAAAAUUUCACACAUCAGAUUUCUCUUGUAGACUAUUUCUUCCUGUUCAAUCUUGCCCUGCUUUUAUUUUAGUGGCUAACAAUCUAAAAUUUGCUAUCAGCGUUGUUUGUUCCUGGUAUAGGAUUUUGCUGCCAAAGGGCAUACGUUCUCUGCUCUGACUUUAAAGUUCCCAAGUGGAAAGACUCUGCCUGUGUCGUGGUCAGGAGCCCGGCUUUUCCAUUUUAAGAUGUGUGCUAUGCUCUUGCUUCCACUGCAAAGGUUGUUUGUGCCUGCUGUUAGGAGCAAAGAUCAAGUUCAAACCCCCGGUACCAACAAGACACGUUGAAGAAUCUUCUACUUCAUGACCAGACUGGGCCAGGAGGCGCAAGUGACCUUUGCCACUUCCAGCCGAGUCACAUGGCCCCCAAACAUUUUGCUUUUUCCCCUGAAAGUGCUUUCCUGUCUCUGCUCAGUGACUAACUCCAUCACGAAUGUGACCCAGUUUGUUUGGCAAGAUGUGAUUUUUUUUUAACUCUCGCUGCUUUUCCUGGUCACGACUCUCUCGCAGGCAUUUAGCGACUCCCUCCUGGCAUCCGGCUGGCCCUGCUGCCAAGCUGGAUUGACGGCUUUCUCCCCAGCUGUUCCCUUCCAGCCCUCUCUCCACUCCCCGGCAAAGCCAUAUUCCAUUUGCUUUUCUGCAGCGUUUUGAUACCUCCAGAGUCUCCUUAAAAUAGACAGAUAAACACUAAUCUCCAAGGAAGUAGCGAGGCAGCGUCCACAGGUUUGUACGAGCUCAGUGAUCUGCUCAGAGGGAGGCUGGAUGGCAAACAUAACCUGGGAGUCCCCGUGUGUGAGUCUUGCCAUCAUUUCCAAAGUGCUCUGGACCCACGAGGUCUCAUUUAAUACCCACGACCACGCACAGCCCAGCGUUUUACAGGUAGGAAAGCAAGGCUCCAGAGGCGAAGAGCCCGUCUACACAGAGAGUGAGAGAGAGGCCAGGAACUGAACGUGCCCUUUUAAAAACGGCGCUUUUUACAUUCAAUAAAACGCCUAGAUCUUCAGUGCCAUGCGAGGAAUUCUGACACGUGCACACUUGUGUGAAGCAUACAGACCAUCUCCGUCACCCACAAACUCCGCGCCCCCCCCCNCCCCCCCCCCAGCAUCCUCCCCCGCCACGCCCCUUCCCAGGAAAGCCCGCACCGCUCUCUGGCUUCUACAGCCUAGAUUAAUCUGCCUUGAACGUGGCUCCUGACUCCUCAGUCCACGUUCAGUCCCUUUUCUGUUACACAGACCAGGUCUGUGAAAUGAACUCAGUGGCACCCACCAGGCUGCACUCUGCAGCCAGAGGACUUUAGAAAGCCAGGCCACAGUCCUUCGCCGAAACACCAGGUCAGCUGGUGGAGUGGACCUUGCGGCCUGCAGUCUGGGGCAAUGUAGGGAGCAGAGUCCCAAAGCCACCCAGAGACCCUCUCUCUGCAGUCCACUCCCUGCUCUUGGCCUCGACAGCACAUCUCCGUACAGGGGGUCACUGGAGGGAAGUCGCUAUGAGGUUUAAAAGAGAGAGGUCCGAAUUCAGCUUGGAGACUCCGGCCCACACUUGCAGGCCCGCCCCAUCCCUGAGCUGCCACCACGGUUUCUAGGGCCUCCAGGGACAGGCCACACUCUGACUGUUUACGCUGGACGCAUGGACUUUUCAUGAACAUCAGGUGUGUGUCAUCUGUCAACUGGGAGUUUUACAACUGGAGGCCUCCACUUUAGGGGAAAAAAAGGAGAGAAAAGAAAUAAUAAAAGCCCAUUCGACUAGUUCCAAGGAUAGACAGUAAAUGGAACUAACGGAUUAGUCACCUGAGGCCAAAUCCCUCUCAGGCUGUCCUGAACCAAGGGACACAUGAUACAGUUAACCUGAUCUGCUUACCUGCCCACAGUUUGAUGCUGAAAUCUUGUUCACGUAGCAGGUUAACUGGUUCCUCUUGGAUCGGUUUAUACACAGCAGCGGGCUGGUCAAUGUUAAGCAGAGAUUUUCUGGGAAGGGAAAAGAGCCCAGGUUGGUAGCACUUGCCGGCUUCGGCCUGGGGUUGGGAGGCCGCCUGUGUGACCGGCUCUAGUCCCUCCGACCCACAAGGAUGCCUUCCACUGGUCAAACACGCCAUUUCCUUUGUAGGCAGCAUGGGCAGGGGUGGCAGGGGUCAGCCGCCACCCAGCACACCAACGACCUCGAGGG
This 6292-nucleotide long non-coding RNA is filed under the name Sus scrofa (pig). RNAcentral describes it as "lncRNA (ENSSSCG00030011962.1)". The record is from RNAcentral. Lineage: Eukaryota; Metazoa; Chordata; Mammalia; Artiodactyla; Suidae.